RNAcentral lists this ribosomal RNA (159 nucleotides) under uncultured Escherichia sp. RNAcentral describes it as "partial 16S ribosomal RNA". It matches the Rfam family "Bacterial small subunit ribosomal RNA", at positions 356 to 507 of the family's 1533-position model. Lineage: Bacteria; Pseudomonadati; Pseudomonadota; Gammaproteobacteria; Enterobacterales; Enterobacteriaceae. The record is from RNAcentral.
GGGGAAUAUUGCACAAUGGGCGCAAGCCUGAUGCAGCCAUGCCGCGUGUAUGAAGAAGGCCUUCGGGUUGUAAAGUACUUUCAGCGGGGAGGAAGGGAGUAAAGUUAAUACCUUUGCUCAUUGACGUUACCCGCAGAAGAAGCACCGGCUAACUCCGUG